UUGUAUAAGCGAUUUGUAUCUAGCAAAUCAUAAACAAUGAAACUUUAACCUGAAAAUUUAGUAUUACAAGUUACAGAACUGUAUGAAUUUACAUUUUAUUAGUUUAUCUAUUGGAAAAAUAUUGAUAAAGUACUAAUGUUACGUGUUCAUCCAAGUUGCACAAGGCUGUACUAGGACUUAUAAUGUCUUCCGGCAAGAAUUUCGUAUAGUAAAUAAUCUCUGACGUUGCGGUAGAGAAGAUAUGAAGGCUUUUGAUAAUUGUAGACAUUUAAAAAGGCACCGCAGGGAAUAUAUUAGUUGCGACACAUUUAUACUAUUGUCUUCAUUGAAAACGAAAAAAUUAAGAAGAAAAAAUAUAUAUUUGAUCACUACUGGAUGGGUCAAAAUUCCAUUAGUUUAAACGAAUUAACAAUAUUUAAUAUGGAAAUUCGUUGGAAUCAUUUUAAAAAAUCUGAAGCUAGAUGCAAUAACUGAUACUACAGAUAAAUACAGAGAUAUCGAAUAUCUCGAAUUGUGUUCAAGAUGCUUGAAAAAAAAAUAUUUAUCAAUAAAACUCUCGAUUUUUCCAUGGAAAUUUAUCUUGUAUAUUAUAAUUGAAAAAAGAAUUUGUUAUAAAUGAUGUUAUUUACAGUGAAUGUAAUAUUGAAAUAUAAGAAAUGUAAUAAUUAUUUGUCCGAAACAAGGAGUGCGAAUAUUGAAUUGUGCCUUGUUUUAAAUCUGUUU
This is a long non-coding RNA of Centruroides sculpturatus (bark scorpion), 723 nucleotides long. RefSeq lists it as uncharacterized. The record is from RefSeq and is a predicted model, not a curated record. The transcript has 3 exons. NCBI's taxonomy places the organism in Eukaryota, Metazoa, Arthropoda, Arachnida, Scorpiones, Buthidae.